GGCUUAAUACAUGCAAGUCGAACACAGCACAGGUAGCAAUACUGGGUGGUAACCGGCAAACGGGUGCGGAACACGUACACAACCUUCCUUUAAGUGGGGGAUAGCCCAGAGAAAUUUGGAUUAAUACCCCGUAAUAUAGUUAGAUGGCAUCAUCUGAUUAUUAUAGCUACGGCGCUUAAUGAUGGGUGUGCGGCUGAUUAGAUAGUUGGCGGGGUAACGGCCCACCAAGUCUACGAUCAGUAGCUGAUGUGAGAGCAUGAUCAGCCACACGGGCAAUGAGACACGGGCCCGACUCCUACGGGAGGCAGCAGUAAGGAAUAUUGGUCAAUGGACGCAAGUCUGGACCAGCCACGCCGCGUGAAGGAUUAAGGUCCUCUGGAUUGGNNCUUC
Molecule: ribosomal RNA, 390 nt
Filed under: uncultured organism
Description: bacterial SSU rRNA
Rfam family: Bacterial small subunit ribosomal RNA
Source: RNAcentral